Molecule: long non-coding RNA, 1116 nt
Organism: Lactuca sativa (garden lettuce)
Lineage: Eukaryota; Viridiplantae; Streptophyta; Magnoliopsida; Asterales; Asteraceae
Source: RefSeq, a predicted model, not a curated record
AGGUUGAAGCAAUGAGCGAAUCACGAUGGAAUUAAUAAGAUUUAUGAAAUGAUAUGGGUCACACUACGACUUUUGAGACUCGCAGUACAAUUCUCAUUGAUUGGGCUUAGGACUUAGGCCUCAGGAUAUGGACCUAUUUAAGGGCAUUAAAUGUAGCGCUUCAUCAUUUGCAGCCUCCAUCACCUCCUUGAGCACCUUUAACGAAAGGCUAGCCUCUCUUGAAGUAUUAAAGCUCGUUCUCUCUCACCGAAUAUCAUUAUGGGUGUUCUUUUAAUGCAUUAGAGUGAAGAAAGGAAAGAAGAUUGCUCUUGGAAGCAUUUUUAACCUUCAUAUCAUCUUUGGACCUUUGAGAUCCAGAUCUAAAAGGGUUAUUGCUUGGCUGGAAGGCUUAAGGACUCUAACAAGAAAAGUUGUUAAGCUAGAUUUCGCAGCGCAAGGAGCUUAUGGUCACGGCAUGACAUCUGAGUAUUUUUCGGUUAUUUUUUUCGUCUUGUGUUUACGGUGCAAUAGUCGUUAUGUAGCACCUGGUUCUUGGUACGUAUUCUUUUGUUAUAUACUUUGCAUUUUGGCCUUGGACUCGGUGAGUUGAAGGUCCAACUCGCCGAGUAGAAGCGGGAAGGGACGCAGGACUUGAGCGAUCAACUCGGCGAUUCGGGUCCCGGACACGGCGAGUAGACCCUGUUUGGACAAAAACCCUAACCUGGGUGUUUGCACCUUAUUUAAACGCUUUAACUUGGCCUCCUUUGUCCCUAACACUUCCAGAGAGCUGUAGAGCGAAACCCUAGCCCCCAUAUUGUUCUUGUGAGUGAUAUUGGCCUCAUGAAGGAAGUUUGGAGCUUAGUAGAAGAAGGAGGAGGUUGAAGAGUGCAAGAAGGGGAAGUAGAUCGGAAAUCUACACUGUGGGAAGCUUCCAUUCAGGUACCUCUUCAGCUAGGGGAAGGAACUGGCGCGGUAGCGGCAUAUCACACACACACACAAUCUUGUUUUCCGUAUUAUGGAUUUUUCUAGGAUGUACUCUGACAUAUUAUUAUGAUGUGGCUGCUUUUCAUACAUGAAGCUUUAUUAUGAAACUUUUAUAUCGAAGUUUUUAUGAAUUGACCUAUUUAAAUAAAUGAA